This 467-nucleotide ribosomal RNA is filed under the name uncultured bacterium. Its description in RNAcentral is "partial 16S ribosomal RNA". It matches the Rfam family "Bacterial small subunit ribosomal RNA", at positions 28 to 506 of the family's 1533-position model. The record is from RNAcentral.
GACGAACGCUGGCGGCGUGCUUAACACAUGCCAGUCGAACGGAAAGGCCCUGCUUUUGUGGGGUGCUUGAGUGGCGAACGGGUGAGUAACACGUGAGUAACCUGCCCUUGACUUUGGGAUAACUUCAGGAAACUGGGGCUAAUACCGGAUAGGAGCUCCUGCUGCAUGGUGGGGGUUGGAAAGUUUCGGCGGUUGGGGAUGGACUCGCGGCUUAUCAGCUUGUUGGUGGGGUAGUGGCUUACCAAGGCUUUGACGGGUAGCCGGCCUGAGAGGGUGACCGGCCACAUUGGGACUGAGAUACGGCCCAGACUCCUACGGGAGGCAGCAGUGGGGAAUAUUGCACAAUGGGCGGAAGCCUGAUGCAGCAACGCCGCGUGCGGGAUGACGGCCUUCGGGUUGUAAACCGCUUUCGCCUGUGACGAAGCGUGAGUGACGGUAAUGGGUAAAGAAGCACCGGCUAACUACGG